Molecule: unclassified non-coding RNA, 378 nt
Filed under: plant metagenome
Description: partial contains 5.8S ribosomal RNA, internal transcribed spacer 2, and large subunit ribosomal RNA
Rfam family: 5.8S ribosomal RNA (bases 1-105)
Source: RNAcentral
GAAAUGCGAUAAGUAAUGUGAAUUGCAGAAUUCAGUGAAUCAUCGAAUCUUUGAACGCAUCUUGCGCUCCUUGGUAUUCCUUGGAGCAUGCCUGUUUGAGUAUCAUGAAAUCUUCAAAGUAAAUCUUUUGUUAACUCAAUUGGUUUCUACUUUGGUAUUGGAGGUCUUUGCAGCUUCACACCUGCUCCUCUUUGUUCAUUAACUGGAUCUCAGUGUUAUGCUUGGUUCCACUCGGCGUGAUAAGUUAUCUAUCGCUGAGGACACUGUAAAAGGUGGCCAAGGUAAAUGCAGAUGAACCGCUUCUAAUAGUCCAUUGACUUGGACAAUACUUUUAUGAUCUGAUCUCAAAUCAGGUAGGACUACCCGCUGAACUUAAGC